Molecule: long non-coding RNA, 4988 nt
Organism: Mus musculus (house mouse)
Lineage: Eukaryota; Metazoa; Chordata; Mammalia; Rodentia; Muridae
Product: predicted gene, 33217
Exons: 7
Source: RefSeq, a predicted model, not a curated record
UUUUGUUUUUGUUUUUUUGUGUUUUUUUUGUUUUUGUUUUUGUUUUUGUUUUGUUUUUUUUUUGUAGCAAAUACCCAGUAUCAGCAAGCUAAAACAGGGAUUAAACGAAAAGAAAACAACAACAACAAUGACGACGACAACAACAACAACCAACAAAUAACAAUGACAACAAACCUAAAAGCUAAUAUUAGCCCAUUCAAAAUCCAAGUUUUUAUUUUUUUGCUAAGGAAGGGGUAGAGUUGACUACUGUUUGUAACAUUUUAUAAUUAAUGGGCUGUGAUUAGUGAAUAGAUGAAACUCAUUGUGUAGUAACACUAAAAUGUAGUUUGGUAGUUUGGAAGUUGUUUGGACUUACAGAGGGUCACAGUGUGUCCUUGGGAAUGGUUUUCUCCUUGCACUUAACGUAAUUAUGAUGGACUUUUCCACUGAAGCACUUUGUAGACAGACAGGAGUGGGUCUAAGUCCUAAGAGUUAGCUAUUCCAUGUGGCAUACAGGUGCAUGUUGCCAAAAUAUAUUGAGUGGUGAAGACUAUAGUUAUUAUAGCUUAAAAGCUUUUUCAGAUAUUGAUCUAAACCAUGGACUGUCCCUCCUUAUACAGACAGAAGACUUUUGGAGACUAUAAGGAAUUGUACCAAGAGAAGGAAGGUUAACAUUGAGACUCUUUGUUGUUGUUGUUGUUCAUUUUUUCUUUUUUUCUUAAUAUGGAUUUUUUUUUCUCCUGACCAGAAAUGAGUUGAUAGGAAUGUUGCAAAGUCUUAGUAUGGACAAGGACUGGCUGGGGACGUUUGUACAUAAAGGUCCUGCCUCCUACGUCUUCUCUGUGCAGGAGGUGGGCAGAUGGCAGGCCAGCUUGGGGGGAUAAUUGGAGAACAGAAUGAGAGGACAGAGCGUGUGUAUAAUGCUAAGCUGAGAUAACACAUGCAGAAAUCUCCAGCUCAGUGUCUGGCACAAAAUAAGGACUAAAAUGUUCAUUUGGAGUUUCUAUUGUUGCCGUCAUAUAUAUUCAUUUUAGUUCAGUGUUCAGAUUUGUUUGAUUGCUGUACCAAAAAUCUUGACUUAACCUUCUAACUAGUAGUUUAUGGAUCUGGGCAAUGGUGCACACAUAGAUAUUGGAAGCAACAUUGACCCUGACAUAUCUCCCUUGAUUUCAGAAGAGUGCUAGACAUGUGUCUUUGCAAACUCUUUUCCAGUUCUCUGAGGUAUAAAUCUGGGUUGCCUUGAGGCUGAUCCCCAUAUCUUUCAGCAGCACCAAGUUAGCAGUUGGUCUUCAAAGGAGAAAAUAAGAGAAUGUAUUCCCUUCACAGAAUCUUUCCCGAUGGAGUGAGCCACAGGUAUAUUCUAGAUUAAAUCUGUGGCAAGAGACUGCUUUCUCCAAAGCUACAACACUAGUUAAUAGCAGACAAGGAAUUAAAAGUCAGCUCUUUUGACUUCUGAGUGAACAUUUGCUUCCACCAACAUAGGAUACAUAUUUAUCUCUUGUCCAAGACUUCUAGGUAGCUUUCUCCAGCCAGGUACAUUGUAAGGUGGUCAAAACAUAUGCUGUCCUAAAAGAGGACUCUUCCUUUGCAGGGCAGUUGUGAGAAGUCAUUAUGGCUGAAUUCAUUUUUAUUAUAAUUUCCCUAGACCUGCUUACUGGCUAUCAGAGCGCUUGCCCAGAGGACUAGCGAGCUGUGUGUGAUUAAGGUCUCUAUGUCUGGUAUCUUCUAGGACAGAAAAACAUGGUGAGCCUUAGAUGUAGCUUUUCUUAUACUGCAAAUUAGACCAGGGUGGAUAUCGUGUAUGCUUGGGGAGGCCAAGAAGCUGGGAUAGACAGGGCAGUUAAACAUCCUUAGAGUUUGGGAAGAUUACGUGUGGAAAUGUUCUAUCUUUACUUCUCUUCAGUCUGUUUUAGCUUCUGAAAACUCCAAAUUCCAGCCACAAAAGGCAGAAGCCUGCUCUAUGCCGUGAAUGUUUUCAAGUCUGUGGAGGAAAGGGAAUGUGAUGAUUUUUUCUUCAUUAAUUUUGAGAAAGGAUUGGAAGGUUUUUACUGGUAGGAAAUGAAGAUUACAUAAAUCGAGAGGUAAAACAGUCAACUAAGAUAAUUGACUAAAAAUAAUUUCAGGUUUUUAAUCACUGAAAAGAUGAUUAGUUCUUGGGAAGAAUAAAGCAGCUGAGAUUGUGGGUAGCUACCUCACUGUAGCUUUUCAAGACCACAGUGUCUAGUCACUGGAUUCUUCCAGUAGAGUUAAUUAGCCCAAACUCUAGCUGCUUGUUGCUUUAGCUGUCUUCAACUUGAGUUUUAUUAUUUAUUUAUUUUUUUGUAAAUACAUUUAAAAGCUAAUUAUGAUACACCUGGGGCUCAGGGAUAAUCCCUAUGCCGAAUCCCCUCCAGAGAAUUAUUUUUCUCACACACCAGAAUUUUUUUUAAAAAGAAAUAAUGUCAGAGGAAAUAUUAUUGUAUAGAUUCGGGGGUUGGGAUAUGUAACCCAUUUCAACUCAGGAGACAAGAAGGUGUAAGAAGCUCUGGCUGGAAUUGAAUGCUCUCUGCUUCUGCUGAGAAGGUGCGGGUGGGGGGCUUGCUUCCAGAUGUUUUUCAGUGCCCUCUGCCCUAUGCUCAGCAGCAGCUCUCACACAGUAUAUAAUGGAGCUGGCUGGUAAUCUGGAGAUGACUUGUUUGUGCUUACAGAUCUGUAAAGGAAACUCAGCAGCUGCAAAUGUUGCUUCUAACUGUCUGAGAAACUGGGAUAAUGCUACUGGGUGGUUCCUUGUUCUGCUGAAAGCUAUUCUAAGUUUAAUGAUCUUUUCUCUUGUACAAACGUGGUAUGCCCAGGUAAGUAUGAACACUCACACAGAUCUGUCUGCUCUCUAGAAGAAGCCAAAGCUGAUUUUAUUUGCCUAGUUAGGGCAGAAUCUUACCUGCUGCAAAAUUAAUGCUUUGUAGCAGAGUCAAGGGAUGAGAAAAUUUAGAAGAUAGACUUUGUAUUUGCCCCAUCAUCAGGAAACCAAUAAACAAGCCUCAGGGCCCAAUACCCAGAAAAAUACACAGUGAGAAAUGAUAAUGGAUCUGUAAAGCUCACUGCCCAUGAGAUGCCACAUGGUUUCCCACAUCACUCUAAUAUAGCAAGGAAGGAAAAGCCCAAAGCAGUGCAGGGCAGUUCUGUACUGUUGAAAGUACUGCCUUACAGAAGCACAGUCUACUUGUAUACAGUUGAUUUUCCCCAAGGGGGAGUUUUGCAAAACCAGAGUGUAUUUAUCAGCUCUAUCUUUUUCUUCCCUGCAGGACUCACCCCAUAAGAGGGUAUGUGGUUGAACUCAGGCUAGGAGAAUGCUUGGCCAUGGGAGGACCACCCGGGAUGUUUAGCCUGUGACCACUGCAGAGUCACCGCAAGAGCAAUAGGAGCAGGAGGGAGAAUGGGAUAGGCUUUGAAGUUCAGGGACUUUGAGGGUUGGUCGCUGGCUCCAUGCUUGGGAACACUGGGCAUCUUAUAGCACCUGAAGAGUAACAGUAAAAUAUGGAUUCCUAAUGGUGCUUGUAACUUAAGCCAGCCCUGUUGUACCCAAGUCUUAGUACAGAGACACCUCCCCCGCACCCCCAGCCCUGGACUUCAGAGGAAUUCAUCAAAACAAAUCCUACCCAUAUGGGAAUUCACAGCAUAUCAGAAGUGAAGGCAGUAUUUGGUUAAUGUUAAGAAGGUGUAACAGGAAGAACACAGACAUGAAAGGAUACUCAGUCAGCUAGAUUCCCUGAAUAUAUUAACAACAUCAAGGAUGCCCAGCAAUGGAUUGCCAAUACAAAAUGAACUCAAAGGGCUCAGAUGUUAGCCCAUACAGUGUGCUGACCAGCACCAAAUGUUACUGUGAAAGACCAGCAUUGGCUAGCUUACUUGGUGGCGGACAGCAGGGAGACCAAAGUAUCUGGAGGGACCUUAAUCUUCUAAGCAAAUCCUGGCUUCAAAGAGGUGGUGGAGGCAAGGUUCAACUUUAAAACACCAAGUCUACAGAAAUUGAAGAAUUCAAGAGGUUAAGAUUUGAUGCUGACUUCAGUCCUUCAGCAGAAAUGGUGGAUGCCCAGCCAUGGACUCAGACAGCAGUGGGAUGAGAACCAUUCAGGGACUGUGUUCUUAGUGCAGGGGUUCAAGGCCCACCUGCAGAGUGUCUGACUCAGCUGGACUGGGUCAAGCCCCAAAUCUGCUUUUAGUGAUCCCCAUGAGUGACUGCAAUGUAGGUGGUCUGAGACCCCACUUUGAGAUGCAAUCCCAGGUCUACACUUCUUUCCCCUGAAACACUGGGCCGUGUUUCAGAAUAUAGAAAGUUGGAAACUGAUUUAAACAUGUUAGCAAAGUGCUGCUUUAUUUCAGGUUUAUUUAAAGCGUUGGAACACUGCACUUUGUUGUAGAAGCUUUAUUUAAAAUUCUGAGGUAGAGUAACCUUUUUCUGAGUUCAAUUUUAACAAGGAGCGGUAUUUGAAGACUGUGGGCCUCGGUUUGUGAGGUCUGAGCAUAAAAAGAAAAUAAAACCCUGCGAGUUGGACCUUCUUAUGUAAAACUAGACCUCAUUCUUUUAAGAGGUGUGACCUUGGAUCAUUAAAAUUUUUCUGAAGAGAACUGUUGGAUAGAUAGCUUUCCUGAUAAAAUGCACUGUGGAACUUGUAAGCAGGAUCUAUGGUUCUCUGUCUCUCAUGCCAUCUUAGGGGAGUACUUGAACAAAACAGACUGUUUUAAUGUUAAGUAGGUUGAAUUCUCUGUAAAACAGAGGGAGCAAUUCCUAGAGGAUUUUUAUGCAGUUUUUUUUCCCUCGGGAUUCAGCUCUUAAUCUAGAAACACACACACACACACACACACACACAAACAAACAAAAAAAUAAACCCACAAAAACAAAACAAAAAAACAAACAAAAGACAAACCUUUUUUUUUUUAACUUGGAGGCAACUAGAGGCAAAUGAGUGACUCGGGAUCAUUACCAUAAAACAGUUGACACGGUUUGUUUAAAUAAACAUUUUAAAACACAA